CAGUAAUCUCUGCAGUACUUUGCCCAGAAGGUCACCAGUUUGACAUGCUAAAGUAUUUGCUUGUUGUCCGCCACUGCACACUCAAGAGGUUCCAGUCGACAUGUCUGUUACAGUGGAUGUGGAAGAACUUGACCUGCCUGCACAGAGUCCUGACCUCAACCCGAUACAACACCUUUGGGAUGAAUUAGAGCAGAGACUGUGGCCUUCUCGUCCAACAUCAGUGUCUGACCUCACAAAUGCACUUCAGGAAGAGCGGUCAGAAAUUCCCAUAAACACACUCCUAACCCUUGUGGAAAGCCUUCCCAGAAGAGCUGAAGCUGUUAUAGGUGCAAAGGGUGGUCCGACAUCAUAUUAAACCCUAUGGAUUAAGAAUGUCUCUCAAGUUUAUAUGUGUGUGAAGGUAGACGAGCAAAUACUUUUGGAAAUAUAGUGUAUGUGGAUUCAUUUUAAUUUUUUAUAUAAUUUGAACACAGCAGCUGCCCAUUAGAUUGUGUGACUAUUUCAUGAUGAGUGGACCAAUGGAAAUACAUUACAUACUUUAACUUACAUUUAAAGUAACGUUUUAGCCCCCUCCUGUGAAGUUAUCACUUUUGGACAGUGAUGAUAGUGUCCAUUAGGGCAGUAAUUAAAUGUUAAAUACCAUAAUGCUGCCAAGUAAUCAUUGCUGAAUCAUCAAGUAAACUUGUUUAUCUUUUUGCAUAGUAGUAUCAUGGUCUGGUGCAGCUUUGCUGUGUGGCAUCUUUGGAAAGAAAUUACUCAGUUGUCCAAACAUAAUGUCAUGGACACCUCUCGGCUGGAAUAGUCUGGCUUGGAAUUGCGGUGUCUUUCGGACUGGUGCACAUCCAGGAGUCUGAAGUGGCAUCACCUGCCUUGAAAUACACCACUAGAUCCAGCAAGACAGUCACCCACCUUUUUAUAAUGACCGUACUGAUGAGCUGUGAGCAAAAACAGACAUUUGUUAACUUAUUUUUAAUUCACCAAGUAAUGCUAACAGUGAUAAAUGAAUGAAUAAUGAAUGAUGUCAACUGCAAAUAUUGUAACAAGCAGCUUCUGCAGGUCUGUGCCAGACAUAGUUGUACUCUGGGGUGGAGAAAGUGUAAACACUGCACCCCCUGCUGACCACAACUGUAAUUGCUUUGGCAGGUCAAAAUGUCACAAUUGCAAAGAAUAAAAUAAAUUGAGGGCCUUCUUUUUUAUGAAGCUAGUAAAAUCGUAGAAUUAUGUGUGAAAAACUAUUUUGAUGCCAUGUCCAAGUUAUUUUCAGUUGCUGCAAUUUUUUUCCUCCCAACAGUUGUUCACAUAAUCAAAUACUGAAAAGUUACACACUGAAAUGAUUCUUUAAUGAGUCUUUAUGUUCAUGUACCAAAACACUUGACCUGGUUCUUCUGUAAAUGUGAUGUUUUUCAUAAAUUUCUAGUCAGUAAGAAGUGAACAAUGAUUUGGGGGUCAUACAAACAGAAAUACAAAUAUGCAUAAACACAUGUUGAGAUGUUUAGGUAGUUCAGUUUGGAGUUGCUCGUUCUUGUGAGAUUAGAUGGUGUUGGGAGAAAUUCAGCUCUUCUAGACUACAGUAAAAACUGAUUUUACCAAACAAGCCAGUCAAAAAACGGAGCCAAACUGUCUUGUGCAUGGGUCUGGGUUUGCUUAGCCUACUCAUAGCGCAUAAUAUGACUAUUUGAAUUAAAUCUGUUGCGUACAGUCAGGAGAUCAAGUCUGGUGGAAAUAAAGGCUAUCGGUCCUGAGGAAGCCCAUGAAAGCCCCGCAUCUGUGCAGCAGAAGAGUCUGAUUUGCAGUUAUGUACACUAGGUUAACACCACGCUGAGAGUGUUUAUAGUGGUAUAUCACACUUUCUUUAAAUGUCAGCAACUCCUUUACUUUCACUUUUAACACCACUGGCUUAAACCUGAAGGGUGUGUGACACUUGAACUGUAACCGUACCGUAUAUAAAAAAAAAACUUGUCAUUUUUAAAAAGCAGUAUUGUUCACAUACGAGUUUGAGUUGAACCUGCCUGCCUACAAAUAUUGAGUUCAGUUCACUUUUGAUACUAAGUUAAUAGAAAUGUUAUAAACAUGUUGUGUUCCGUUUUUAUCUAGAGCUGAAAACAGUAAAACAACUGUCUGUCUGU
Pygocentrus nattereri (red-bellied piranha) is the source of this 2126-nucleotide long non-coding RNA. The record is from Ensembl. NCBI's taxonomy places the organism in Eukaryota, Metazoa, Chordata, Actinopteri, Characiformes, Serrasalmidae.